GCUCACCUGUGGACUCCACCAUGAUUGUUUGACUAUAAAAAGAGAAACUGUGUCUCUGCUGCUCCGAACUAUUCACACUUGAAUGAGAACAUGAAGUGACGCUGCAGUGGAUCUUCCCUCAUCCUUAAAGUGCAGCUGUGGAUAAUCUGUUGAAGAUCAGAAAAUCAUCACAGCCGAGUCUGGACAGAACAUCACGCUGCCGUGUCGAGCUCCAAAUGAGAACAAAACCAUCACAGUAGUAGAGUGGAGCAGAACUGAUCUGGAGUCAGAACAUGUGCUUUUGUACCGAGAUGAACAGUUUGAACCAGAAGAGCAGCAUCCAUCUUUUAAGAACCGGGUGGAUCUGCAGGACAGACAGAUGAAGGAUGGAGACGUGUCUCUGAUUCUGAAGAAUGUGACGACUGCUGAUAGUGGAACAUACGAGUGUCGAGUCUUCAUGGGAAAAAAACGACGCAGGAAAAGAGCUAAGCUGAAUACUGACCCCAUCAGUGUCAUCAGCCUGAGUGUUGUUGUUCCUCCAG
This is a long non-coding RNA of Oreochromis aureus, 521 nucleotides long. NCBI's taxonomy places the organism in Eukaryota, Metazoa, Chordata, Actinopteri, Cichliformes, Cichlidae. The record is from Ensembl.